AAGACCAGAGGGAUAUCCCGACAUGAUUUCAAAUAACACAGGAAACAAUGGAUCUAUGUGCACAGUCAGAGUCGGGUCCAGAAGUCUUCCACUGUAUCCAUUGGUUAUUGUGUGUUUAGGACUGCUAAACACUUGUCUGAUGUUAACUGCUGUUGUUAUUGGGAUUUACUGUGGCAAACUCAGUGAGGAAUCUGCACCAGACCAAAUAACAGCACAAGUCCUCAUCAUAGAGGUGAAGCAACUUCAGAUAAUGCUGACUGA
Cottoperca gobio is the source of this 261-nucleotide long non-coding RNA. RefSeq lists it as uncharacterized. The record is from RefSeq and is a predicted model, not a curated record. NCBI's taxonomy places the organism in Eukaryota, Metazoa, Chordata, Actinopteri, Perciformes, Bovichtidae. The transcript has 3 exons.